Molecule: ribosomal RNA, 476 nt
Filed under: uncultured bacterium
Lineage: Bacteria
Description: bacterial SSU rRNA
Rfam family: Bacterial small subunit ribosomal RNA
Source: RNAcentral
GAUGAACGCUAGCGGCAGGCUUAACACAUGCAAGUCGAGGGGCAGCACUUGUAGCAAUACAUGGUGGCGACCGGCGCAAGGGUGCGUAACGCGUGAGCAACAUGCCCGUAUCAGGGGGAUAAUCCAGGGAAACUUGGUCUAAUACCCCAUAGCAAUUAUUUGAGGCAUCUUAAAAUAAUUUAAAGCUUUGGUGGAUACGGAUUGGCUCGCGUGACAUUAGCUAGAUGGUAAGGUAACGGCUUACCAUGGCUACGAUGUCUAGGGGUUCUGAGAGGAAGAUCCCCCACACUGGAACUGAGACACGGUCCAGACUCCUACGGGAGGCAGCAGUGAGGAAUAUUGGACAAUGGAUGGAAAUCUGAUCCAGCCAUGCCGCGUGCAGGAAGACGGCCCUAUGGGUUGUAAACUGCUUUUGUGUGGGAGCAAUAAGGUCUAUGCGUAGACUGAUGAGAGUACCAUACGAAUAAGCAUCGGCU